AACGAACGCUGGCGGCAGGCUUAACACAUGCAAGUCGAGCGGGCACUGGCGGGUUUCAGCGGCGGACGGGUGGGUAACGCGUGGGAACGUGAACUCGGGUUCGGAAUGACCCCGGGUUACUUGAGCUAAUAUCGGAUACGCCCUUUUGGGGAAAGGCUUGCUGCCGGGGGAUCGGCGCGCGUCUGAUGAGCUAGUUGGUGAGGUAACGGCUCGCCCAGGCGAGGAUCAGGAGCUGGUCUGAGAGGAUGAUCAGCCACACUGGGACUGAGACACGGCCCAGACUCCUACGGGAGGCAGCAGUGGGGAAUAAUGGACAAAGGGCGCAAGCCUGAUCCAGCCAUGCCGCGUGAGUGAUGAAGGCGUUAGGGUUGUAAAGCUCUUUUAUCCGGGACGAUAAUGACGGUACCGGAGGAAUAAGCCCCGGCUAACUUCGUG
Molecule: ribosomal RNA, 435 nt
Filed under: uncultured bacterium
Lineage: Bacteria
Description: partial 16S ribosomal RNA
Rfam family: Bacterial small subunit ribosomal RNA
Source: RNAcentral